UGGGGAAUAUUGGACAAUGGGCGCAAGCCUGAUCCAGCAAUGCCGCGUGUGUGAAGAAGGCCUUCGGGUUGUAAAGCACUUUUAUCAGGAGCGAAAUACUAUCGGUUAAUAACCGGUGGGGCUGACGGUACCCGAGGAAUAAGCACCGGCUAACUUCGUGCCAGCAGCCGCGGUAAUAUGAAGGGUGCAAGCGUUAAUCGGAAUUACUGGGCGUAAAGGGUGCGUAGGCGGUUAGUUAAGUCUGUUGUGAAAUCCCCGGGCUCAACCUGGGAAUGGCAAUGGAUACUGGCUAGCUAGAGUGUGUCAGAGGAUGGUGGAAUUCCCGGUGUAGCGGUGAAAUGCGUAGAGAUCGGGAGGAACAUCAGUGGCGAAGGCGGCCAUCCGGGACAACACUGACGCUGAAGCACGAAAGCGUGGGGAGCAAACAG
Molecule: ribosomal RNA, 428 nt
Filed under: uncultured bacterium
Lineage: Bacteria
Description: bacterial SSU rRNA
Rfam family: Bacterial small subunit ribosomal RNA
Source: RNAcentral